GGAAGGGCCAAGUCCAUGGUUAUGAAUCUUGAUCCUGAGAGGAACGAGGAAUGCCUUUUGAACGUACUGAUGUGCAUGACCUCAAGAUCUGUUUGGGACUUCCAGUUCUGAGGACCUGAGCUAUGUCUUGCCCCCUGUGGCAUGUCUGUACUGCUGUCAAUGCCACCCCUGACACAGUGGGAAAGUGCUUAAGGAAAGGAAGAAGAAGAAUAUUUUCAGAGAGGAGAAAACAUUUGAUGAAAUCGGAAUGCUGUAUGAAUAGAAACCCAUCUUGACUGCAAACAAAAUUAAGUGGAUGAAGCCAGGACAUGGAAAAGUUUUGUUACUCAUCAUAACUAACUGUGGCUCAAAAGUCCUGACAGAAAAAAAACAUUGAAAGCUACAGUUUUUUAAAGCUGAAGCUGGCUUCUGAGAGCACCUCUGGUGUUCUCUAAAUGUAAGAAGUACAUGUUUAAUUUGGGAUUUUUAAAAUAUAAAAGUUAGUGAUAGACUCACUCAUACAACAUCACACAAGUGUUAUCUUUACACUAAAACUCCUGAACAAUAAAUCUAAACUCAAAUUAUUGGACCAUUCCUUGGCUUUAAUUCUGUAUUGAUUGCAUAAUUAAGAUUGAGUCACUGAGAAAAAUCUUAGAUGUUAUGAGUAACAUAUUUAUAUGAAUCCCUUAGGUCAGCUAAUGAUCCCACAUACCACAUAUUCAUCUGUUUUUCAGACACAUCGGUGUUAGUAGCACUUUUGAGUAGAAUUUUUACUUUUGAGGUUGAGGGUGAUUAAAGCAAUUUCUGAAAUGAUAUCAUCCCAACCCUGGAUGGGCCAGUGGAGUCAGACAUAUUAAAGCAAUACUGUUUAAAAGCAGAGCAGAUAAAGAGUAAGAACAUUUGUCAGGUUAGAGGUUCAUAAAAAUAAAUAUAGUGCUCUUCAGACACAAAUGGCUGGAUAAUAUAGAAAGACUAUUAUUUAUGAAAAUAUGACCUGCAAAUAUUAUCUAUCAGGUAUUGAACUUCUGCUGAAACUCCUAAGAUUAUUUACUUUUGCUAACCCUGUGGUGUAUUUGAGGCUUUUCUCCUACUUUGCUUACUGUCAGAAAUGUUGUGUCUUACAGAAUCAUUCACCCCCAGAAUGUCAUCUGUCCUCUUUCCCACAAUCACAUUUGUCUGUGCUGGAUUGCCCAGAGAAAAGCAGCCCACCCUGCUUCUUUCAUGCAAGUGCCAUAAGCAACAUUGCCACAUAGGGUGAAACACAAGCACAUGCUGCCAAUGGAGGGACUUUUAUACCAAAUAACCCCUAAAACUAUUUUUUUUCCUUUAGCUGAUGUUAAAUAAGUGACUUCAGCCCUGCAGACCCUCAGGCUCCAUUGCUAAAAGCAGUUACAGGCUCGAGAUCUUAGACAGAUUUCUCAUACACCAAAACAUCUACUCUUGUAGAGCAGCACAAAGACUAAUAUAAAUAAAUUUGUGAGGCUUUUCAGGAAGACUUGAUUUUGAUUAAAUUGCUUGUUUCUGCUGUUAAACAAGGUCUCCUUUUUUAGCAGCUGACUAAAAUGCUCUCAGGUAAAAUCCUUCAAGAAUCCCAUAGCUAAUACUUAUUAAGAUUUAA
Non-coding RNA from Cyanistes caeruleus (blue tit), 1597 nucleotides. The record is from RefSeq and is a predicted model, not a curated record. NCBI's taxonomy places the organism in Eukaryota, Metazoa, Chordata, Aves, Passeriformes, Paridae.